GAAUAUGAGGUUGAUGUGGCUGUGACAUCUGUCAAACAUUGUUCAUCCCCAAUGUUAAUUUGGCUGACCUGGCAGCCUAGCUUGGUGCUCCCUUCCUUUAUCACCUCUCCCAGUGAUUUACUCCCAAUGUUUUACACUCAGUUGAAGCUAGUGGGGGAAUGUUCUUCAUUCAGGCUUU
RNAcentral lists this small nuclear RNA (178 nucleotides) under Mus musculus (house mouse). RNAcentral's name for it is "7SK RNA". It matches the Rfam family "7SK RNA". From Rfam's summary of the family: 7SK was discovered as an abundant small nuclear RNA in the mid-70s but a possible function has only recently been suggested. Two independent studies have found that 7SK RNA binds the CDK9/cyclin T complex (known as elongation factor P-TEFb). The record is from Rfam by way of RNAcentral. Lineage: Eukaryota; Metazoa; Chordata; Mammalia; Rodentia; Muridae.